Molecule: ribosomal RNA, 397 nt
Filed under: uncultured bacterium
Lineage: Bacteria
Description: partial 16S ribosomal RNA
Rfam family: Bacterial small subunit ribosomal RNA
Source: RNAcentral
AUACGUAGGGGGCGAGCGUUGUACGGAAUGAUUGGGCGUAAAGGGCGCGUAGGCGGCCCGGUAAGUCUGGAGUGAAAGUCCUGUUUUUAAGAUGGGAAUUGCUUUGGAUACUGUCGGGCUUGAGUGAAGGAGAGGUAAGUGGAAUUCCCAGUGUAGCGGUGAAAUGCGUAUAGAUUGGGAGGAACAACAGUGGCGAAGGCGACUUAGUGGACUGUAACUGACGUCGAGGCGCGAAAGUGUUGGGAGCAAACAGGAUUAGAUACCCUGGUCGUCACCACUGUAAACGAUGAAGGCUAGGUGUAGGGGGUAUCGACCCCUUCUGUGCCGCAGUCAACACAAUAAGCAUUCCGCCUGGGGAGUACGGCCGCAAGGUUUAAACUCAAAGGAAUUGACGGGG